AGAUCCGCUAGGUCGCCGGCUCCAAGAUCCAAGAGGCCUCAAACAGAUUUCAAAUCCUCAGGCAGAGUUCUCUGAGACUACAGACGUUCGGAAAGAUUCUGGGGGUCACUGGCAGAUCCUGUCUAUCUUCAGGUCUUCAGAGCUUUAAGUCCUUCUUUGUCCUCUCGCCGUUCCUUUUAUUCCUCAGGCCUGCCUGGGGGCAGGACGACUCUCCAAACCCAGCUUGGCUGCUUGCCUCCUUCUAUGACCAACCCUGGAUGGCCAUGACAUGUAGCAAGUUGUUGCUUUGUGGACACUCAGCUACGAACAUGUCAGCUGGAGUCUAUGGAGUUGGGGGAAGUCCCCCUGCUAAUGGGAAGUUGCCCCUGGCCACUGACCACAGUGAGUUAUCUGUCCAGACACUGCAUCCCAGACAGGGCUCCCCACCCCCUUCUCCAUCCUCUGGAGGACCCAGGGAACAAAGCCACAUUUUCUUGGUCUCCUAAGCUAAGAAGAACCAGGAAGAUGAAGCCUUUGCUGGGAAAAACCAUAUACAAGAAAGAGAACGUGGGGAAUGUGGGAAAAUGGACACAGCUGGCUUUUUCGAAGUGGCGGGAGGGAAGGUGGUAUUAUUUAUGUUUUCCUUGAUUGUUGUUUGCACAAUACAACUAUGAAAAGCAAGAAUAUGCCCUAAUGCAUUUGAAAGCCAAAAUAUUUGUUUAAAAAUCUGUGUUUGAGAUUCUUGGAGGUGGGGAUUUGCUUGAUAUGUGGGGACAGCAGGGCUGGCAAUCCUUUCAUCAGCCUCUUCCUGAGUCUGCCUCCAUUUCCUGAGGUCACAGAGGGGGAUGAAGUGGAGU
Molecule: long non-coding RNA, 836 nt
Organism: Globicephala melas (long-finned pilot whale)
Lineage: Eukaryota; Metazoa; Chordata; Mammalia; Artiodactyla; Delphinidae
Source: RefSeq, a predicted model, not a curated record